CCGCUGCCCUUGCAGAGCAAGGGGAACAACUACUUCAAGGUCUCAGAGAGGAAGGGGAAGGCACCUAGGGAGUGUUUAGGCAAGGGGCCUGCGGGUAUACAGAUACCCAUAGUAUAUUCACUGUCUAGGCACACUAGGUAAUACCUGUGUGGACCACCCCCUGUAUUUUGGUUAGCGCGCCAGGUGGCGUUAAGAGCAGGAAGUUGUGUUCCCUCCUCCAGGAGACGUACGUAACAAUUGGGGGCUCAUCCGAGAUUUGAACCCGGGACCUCUCGCACCCCCAAUCUCACCUUCCUCGCUGGCCUGCUGGGAUGCAAUCCUCUCAGUGAUGAUGCUGAGGCGGGAGGCAAACUCCGAGAAGAUGAAUUGUGUGCAGCCUGCCUGGUGGCACUUCUUGAAAAACUGUGAAGCCAGACUAGUAUUGGACCCAGAACCAGAUGAGCCAGGAGGCCCCGAAUCCCCAGGUGACCCUGAACCACAGCUGGAGUCUGGGGAUGGAACAGAAAGGGGAAGAGUCAACUCCUGUUAAGUGUACAUUGGAUAUGUAAAUAUGUAGGUAAAUCAAUCAUAGUCCAAAUGGUACCGCAAAUUAUUUUCACUUGCUUCACUGUUUAGUUUAGUGCAAACAUUCACUGUAGUUCCAACUCCCUCCACACACCUGUUUGGUCUGGGAGGAGAGAGUCCAGUUGUUCUACUUUGAUGAUGGACAGAUGGCUCUUGGAGGACUGCCCAGACAAAGGAAGAGGUUUGAGUAGAAGAAAUGAGGAGUAAAGGUGCUGUAGCUUAGCCUGGUCCCAGAUCGGUUUGUGCCAUCAUACCACUCUGUCAUGUCAAGCAUCAUUUCUGGAGUGACAAGAAGUUGAAUGAUAACAGAAACGGACUGGCACCCAGGCUAACUGCAGCUAACUACAAGAGUAAAAGAAAACUUACUCAUUUGAGCAACGCUUUCCCAACUCACCUCCCCAUUCUCAAAUGCUGGUCCCUCAAGUCCAUACUGAAACUCAAACUGCUCUGGAGCCCCACCUACAGCAUAAAAUAAUCAGUAUAUGAGAGACAACCACAAUAUUCUUCUUAUGAGAAUCUGAAAGUCCACACAUUUGACUAUACGGGACAUCUUGGAUUGAAACUUAAUACAACAACAGAAACCAACCUUCUGUCAAGGCUACCUCUGAAGUAUUGGGUUCUUGCCUGGGGGAUGUUAAGAACAUUAAGAACACAGAAAUAGUUUAAAAAAAGGUUAAACCAUUAGAACAAUGUACAGUCUGGCAAAGGCUUGGCCAUAAAAAAAAACUAAAAUCACACAUUUUAUAUGAACUAAAUAUAUAACUAGUCUGUCAGAUUUGAUUAUGGUCUCUGACAAUCUAAUACAGUAGGCCUACACAAACGUGUUACCAUUGUUUAAACUUCCAAUAACCAUGAUACACUGAAUUGGGGCACUGUCAAUGUGUUGACUCCUAGUUGAACCCCUCCUACCAAAACCAAUGAGUAAACUGACAUUAUUAAACUGCAGUGCUUUGUUGUACAUGUUUUGUGUGCUGCUAUUUUGGCCAGGUCUCUUGCAAAAUAGAUGUUUAAUCUCAAGGACACUAACCUGGUAAAAGUAAAUUAAAGUACCCACUUUGACAUCCCUCUUUUAGGGUGUGGCUCCUCAUCCUCAUGUGUGCUCUUCUUGGACAGCUUCUCUUCCUUUAUUGCAGCUUCUGUUUUGCUGUUCUUCAACGACUGAAAAAUCAUUCAUACCACAACCAUUAACAAAACACAUUAUGGUAUGUCAUGUUCCAAAUCAGAUUGACUAUUAACCAUGUGAAUUUAUGCAGCAGAAAGCACUAGUGGGCAUAACACACUGAACACAAAUACAAAAUGCAACAUGUAAAGUGAUGAGCUGAAUUUUUUACAUCUAUUUUUCCAAACGCACAAAAAGCU
Long non-coding RNA from Oncorhynchus gorbuscha (pink salmon), 1923 nucleotides. RefSeq lists it as uncharacterized. The record is from RefSeq and is a predicted model, not a curated record. NCBI's taxonomy places the organism in Eukaryota, Metazoa, Chordata, Actinopteri, Salmoniformes, Salmonidae. The transcript has 4 exons.